This 795-nucleotide long non-coding RNA is filed under the name Oreochromis niloticus (Nile tilapia). Its description in RNAcentral is "lncRNA (ENSONIG00000032212.1)". Lineage: Eukaryota; Metazoa; Chordata; Actinopteri; Cichliformes; Cichlidae. The record is from RNAcentral.
AUACGAUGAUAAUAACAUUGGUUCAACAAAGGCUUAAAACAAAGGAAAUCAGCUGUGUACUCAAUCAUAUGGGCAUAAAAUAAGGUAAGUCUGCAUUUCAACAGUUUCCAUGACAACUCUCUAAAAUUACAAAACAUGCAGUUGUCCUUUAAUAUAAUGCAAGUCUGUGUUGUCUUUUAACAGUGAGAGGCAUCUGAGACGAGUUUUAAAACUUCUAGGUUGAAGCGAAGAUGCCCCCAACGACCUUUUACUGAAAUCCACAAAGCAGUGGAGAGUGAGAUGAAACAGUGUUCUCCUGAACAAGGAAUCAGGGCAAUGGUAAAGCGGGUAAGGGAUGUCAGAGGAGUGCGGCCUUGUUACAGAGACGAUGUUGCUAAUAUAAUGAGGGAUAUGGAUGCAAGUGGUCUUCAGAGGAGAUCUCCUGGAAAGAAGAAAAUUCCCCGUCGGAAUUACAUCAGCCGUGGUCCAAAUGACACCUGGCACAUUGAUGGCAAUGAUAAACUGAAGUUCUUUGGAAUGUGGAUACAUUUGGGGAUUGAUGGGAAGGUUCUAUGGCUAAAGGUGGGCACAUCCAACCGCAAACAAAACUUUGUGGCCAGAUACUUCUUUGAGGCUGUUCAAGAACAGGGUGGCUGUCCUCAAAUGAUUCGGGGGGACAGAGGAAAGGAGAACCUUGUUGUUGGUCAAAUGCAGAUGGCAUUUCACAUGCGAGAUCUUGGGAAUCAGGCAUGGAGGUGCUUCAGAAUGGGGACAUCAGUGCACAACCAGAGAGCUGAAUGUUUUAACAGUAUUUAA